AGAGUUUGAUCAUGGCUCAGAUUGAACGCUGGCGGCAUGCCUUACACAUGCAAGUCGAACGGUAACAGGUCUUCGGAUGCUGACGAGUGGCGAACGGGUGAGUAAUACAUCGGAACGUGCCCGAUCGUGGGGGAUAACGGAGCGAAAGCUUUGCUAAUACCGCAUACGAUCUACGGAUGAAAGCAGGGGACCGCAAGGCCUUGCGCGGACGGAGCGGCCGGUGGCAGAUUAGGUAGUUGGUGGGAUAAAAGCUUACCAAGCCGACGAUCUGUAGCUGGUCUGAGAGGAUGAUCAGCCACACUGGGACUGAGACACGGCCCAGACUCCUACGGGAGGCAGCAGUGGGGAAUUUUGGACAAUGUGCGAAAGCCUGAUCCAGCCAUGCCGCGUGCAGGAUGAAGGCCUUCGGGUUGUAAACUGCUUUUGUACGGAACGAAAAGACUCUGGAUAAUACCUGGGGUCCAUGACGGUACCGUAAGAAUAAGCACCGGCUAACUACGUGCCAGCAGCCGCGGUAAUA
RNAcentral lists this ribosomal RNA (520 nucleotides) under uncultured bacterium. RNAcentral describes it as "bacterial SSU rRNA". It matches the Rfam family "Bacterial small subunit ribosomal RNA", at positions 8 to 525 of the family's 1533-position model. The record is from RNAcentral.